Molecule: long non-coding RNA, 1372 nt
Filed under: Bos indicus x Bos taurus (hybrid cattle)
Lineage: Eukaryota; Metazoa; Chordata; Mammalia; Artiodactyla; Bovidae
Description: lncRNA (ENSBIXG00005000559.1)
Source: RNAcentral
AGCAGCAAGCACAAUUUAUCGUUCUUCUGUAUUGCUGAGGAACAGAAAAACUUAGCAACCAGACAAAAUUGCACAAGAUUCUGGUUUAUGGGGAAGCAGUGAAGUGCAAAGUUGAUGAGCAGUGAAGUGUAACUCAGGAAACUUCUACCUUGUGGAAAAUAUUAAUACACCCCAGGCAUCACUGAAUGAGACCAAGACACUCUCAAAGGGUUUUAACCAUUGAAAUGUCAAAAUUGAAGAUAUCAACAGCAUUUUGUUUUAAAGAAGAAAUGUGUUCAAGAAAACUGAAAAAUGCAAAGCUGAGGAAGCCCUCAGUGACCUGUAUAAAACAGAACUGACAUAUCUACAGUGAUGAUAAAGAAACUCAAAAAGGCAUUAAGUGAAGAGGUGGCUGAACGGAGAACUGAUUGCUAUCUGAUCUCAAGUUAGCCUCUAGAUUCUUCAGUUGGUCCUGUUUCAUACCCUGUGAAACACUGGAAUGAGUAUUCUUUUUAACUAAAGAAGUAAGAAAUGACUGGUUCAGGGACUUACCUGGCAGUCUAGUGGUUAAGACUGUGCUUCCACUGCAGGGGGCGCUGGUUCAAUCCCUGGUCAGGGAACUAAGAUCCCAAAUGCUGAGAUAUGGCCAAUUAAAAAAAAAAAAAAAAGGAAAGCAAAGACUGGUUGAAAUGAAUGAUAAGAUUCAGGCAGUAAUAAUGCAUGUUGUUCAACUGAAAUAUGACUUAAAAUGAUUGUAAAUACAAUGAAAGUGUGUUGACUUUUAUAUUGUAUUUUAUUUCACAUAAUUUUCCCCAUGUUGUGUUCAUCUCUGUAACUUGUAUGAGAAAGAAAGUAAGAAAUAUAAUGCUAUUCUCACUUUUUAUGAGAAACCUGAGGCAUAGAAAGUGUAUGACACUUGUUUUUGGUUAUUGAAAGGUUAGGGGUGGAAGGGGGAAUUUGACCUCCUGAUUCAAUACUGGUUGCUCCUUUGAUUAAACAUGAAUAUGCAGAAGAUUAAGAAAAAAACAGAUUUUGCUAUCAAGAAAGGAUCUCCAAGGUCGUUAGUGUGUAGCUGAGAGGGAUCUGCCCGAGGGGAUAGAAGACCUUCCUGGGAUAGACGAGUGAGUUCAGAGAACCCAGUGAGAAUGGAUAACUCUUGCUCACUCAUACCCACAGAUAUAUAAGCUUUAUAGCAAAACCUUUUAUUGCUGAAACUGUUGGUUCAUUUUAAGACUUUAGAUUAUAUUCAAGGCAAGGAGGCACAGAAGACAGAGUCAGCCCCUGGGUUGAAAUAGCCCUGAGUGACCAGCUGUCAUGGCCUGUACCAGGAGCCCCACUGCCAUAAUUUGCUAAAUAAGCAUCUACAUGUGAUGUGACCUUUUUAGCUAUUUGU